GCACUUUGUAAUUCACCCUGAAUGCGCCCUGUGUGGUUGAAGCUCAGAAGCAAACCAGCGUUGACCCUGAUCAGUACUCGGGUGCGCAGACUGCCUGGGAAUACCAGGCGCUAUAGGCU
RNAcentral lists this ribosomal RNA (119 nucleotides) under Petromyzon marinus (sea lamprey). Lineage: Eukaryota; Metazoa; Chordata; Hyperoartia; Petromyzontiformes; Petromyzontidae. The record is from RNAcentral.